RNAcentral lists this ribosomal RNA (253 nucleotides) under uncultured bacterium. RNAcentral describes it as "partial 16S ribosomal RNA". It matches the Rfam family "Bacterial small subunit ribosomal RNA", at positions 524 to 776 of the family's 1533-position model. The record is from RNAcentral.
UACGAAGGGGGCUAGCGUUGUCCGGAAUCACUGGGCGUAAAGGGCGCGUAGGUGGCGGCCCAAGUCAACGGUGAAAGCUCGGCGCUCAACGCCGAGUCGGCCGUCGAUACUGGGCUGCUCGAGCACUGUAGAGGCAGAUGGAAUUCCGGGUGUAGCGGUGGAAUGCGUAGAGAUCGGGAAGAACAUCGGUGGCGAAGGCGGCCAGCUGGGCCGUUGCUGACGCUGAGGCGCGACAGCGUGGGGAGCAAACAGG